Micropterus dolomieu (smallmouth bass) is the source of this 196-nucleotide long non-coding RNA. RefSeq lists it as uncharacterized. The record is from RefSeq and is a predicted model, not a curated record. NCBI's taxonomy places the organism in Eukaryota, Metazoa, Chordata, Actinopteri, Centrarchiformes, Centrarchidae. The transcript is spliced from 2 exons.
GGGCAAAGAGUACAGCCAAAUCUGAGCAGGUACACUGUAGCAUCCAUCAUCCGGACUUUCCGAAAUGAGAAUAGAACUGAAAGAUUACCAACACAAGGUGGUCAGGAACGUCUUCUGUCUCCUGAACAGGAAACUGAAAUCAUAAACAUGGUCCUAGAAAACAGCGCCAUAACAUUACAGCAAAUACAAAGAAAAA